RNAcentral lists this ribosomal RNA (441 nucleotides) under uncultured bacterium. Its description in RNAcentral is "partial 16S ribosomal RNA". It matches the Rfam family "Bacterial small subunit ribosomal RNA", at positions 338 to 795 of the family's 1533-position model. The record is from RNAcentral.
CCUACGGGAGGCAGCAGUGGGGAAUAUUGCACAAUGGGGGAAACCCUGAUGCAGCGACGCCGCGUGAGUGAAGAAGUAUUUCGGUAUGUAAAGCUCUAUCAGCAGGGAAGAAAAUGACGGUACCUGACUAAGAAGCCCCGGCUAACUACGUGCCAGCAGCCGCGGUAAUACGUAGGGGGCAAGCGUUAUCCGGAUUUACUGGGUGUAAAGGGAGCGUAGGUGGCAUGGUAAGCCAGAAGUGAAAACCCAGGGCUCAACUCUGUGGAUUGCUUUUGGAACUAUCAAGCUAGAGUGCUGGAGGGGUAAGCGGAAUUCCUAGUGUAGCGGUGAAAUGCGUAGAUAUUAGGAGGAACACCGGUGGCGAAGGCGGCUUACUGGACAGAAACUGACACUGAGGCUCGAAAGCGUGGGGAGCAAACAGGAUUAGAUACCCCUGUAGUC